This 439-nucleotide ribosomal RNA is filed under the name Marinobacter vulgaris. RNAcentral's name for it is "Bacterial large subunit ribosomal RNA". It matches the Rfam family "Bacterial large subunit ribosomal RNA", at positions 31 to 510 of the family's 2925-position model. The record is from Rfam by way of RNAcentral. Lineage: Bacteria; Pseudomonadati; Pseudomonadota; Gammaproteobacteria; Pseudomonadales; Marinobacteraceae.
CCCUGGCAGUCAGAGGCGAUGAAGGACGUGCUAAUCUGCGAAAAGCGCCGGCGAGGUGAUAUGAACCUUUGACCCGGCGAUGUCCGAAUGGGGAAACCCAGUGCAAUCCGUUGCACUAUCGUUAACUGAAUACAUAGGUUAACGAGGCGAACCGGGGGAACUGAAACAUCUAAGUACCCCGAGGAAAAGAAAUCAACCGAGAUUCCCCCAGUAGCGGCGAGCGAACGGGGAGCAGCCCGGAGUCUGAAUCAGCUUGUGUGUUAGUGGAACGGUCUGGAAAGUCCGACGGUACAGGGUGAUAGUCCCGUACACGAAAAUGCACAUGCUGUGAACUCGAAGAGUAGGGCGGGACACGUGGUAUCCUGUCUGAAUAUGGGGGGACCAUCCUCCAAGGCUAAAUACUCCUGACUGACCGAUAGUGAACCAGUACCGUGAGGGA